UUUUAGGGGCUCCUUUGACUAAAACACAUUCAAUGCAUUGAAAACAUGUUUUAUUUACUUAAAGUAAUUGCACCAUAAGAGCAUUACCGAAUAGAACCAAAGAGUAUGUCUAUAUCCUGUUUCACUCAUCAUCCUAUCCUUGCCCCCCUACCCCUUCUCAAAAUAUACCUCAGUUAUCCAAUUCGGGUUUGUCACUCUUUUCGUGGCAUCAUUUACACUUGCGCCAUUGCUCGCACUGCUCAACAACAUCAUUGAAGUGUGGGUCGACGCGUGGAAGCUCGUAACAAAGAUGAUGAGGCCUGUGGUUUCGCGAGCAAGAGGAAUUGGAGCCUGGGCCGACAUUCUGAGUAUCGUUGCCACCCUCUCCGUAAUCACCAAUUCAUGCAUCUUGGCGUUCACAACGGACAUCAUCCCAUGCCUGGUGUAUUAUUAUGGAUACUCAGCAGAGUAUGGCACAGGUUCGCCCACAAUGCAUGGGUACACGGAGGACAGCCUUUCAAUUUUCAAGAUCACCGACUUCAAGUAGCAAAAUCAUCCCAACAUCCUGCCAGCCUGGUUUGAUCCGGCAAUCCACACAACCUGCAGGUAUCCAGGUUAUCGCUACCCGCCGGAUCAUCCCCAAGCCUACUCCGUCACCAAGCAGUACUGGCAAGUACUGACGGCAAAGCUGGCCUUCGUCAUUGCCAUGCAGGUACACAUCAACAUGCACACACACACAUUCAUAAACCCAUUGAAAGAUAAAGGUACAGCCCUCCAAUUACUUGCUCA
This is a non-coding RNA of Petromyzon marinus (sea lamprey), 768 nucleotides long. The record is from RefSeq and is a predicted model, not a curated record. Lineage: Eukaryota; Metazoa; Chordata; Hyperoartia; Petromyzontiformes; Petromyzontidae.